AGUGAACGCUGGCGGUAGGCCUAACACAUGCAAGUCGAACGGCAGCACAGUAAGAGCUUGCUCUUACGGGUGGCGAGUGGCGGACGGGUGAGGAAUACAUCGGAAUCUACUUUUUCGUGGGGAUAACGUAGGGAAACUUACGCUCAUACCGCAUACGACCUACGGGUGAAAGCAGUGGAUCUUCGCACCUUGCGCGAUUGCAUGAGCCGAUGUCGGAUUAGCUAGUUGGCGGGGUAAAGGCCCACCAAGGCGACGAUCCGUAGCUGGUCUGAGAGGAUGAUCAGCCACACUGGAACUGAGACACGGUCCAGACUCCUACGGGAGGCAGCAGUGGGGAAUAUUGGACAAUGGGCGCAAGCCUGAUCCAGCCAUACCGCGUGGGUGAAGAAGGCCUUCGGGUUGUAAAGCCCUUUUGUUGGGAAAGAAAAGCAGCAGGUUAAUACCCCGCUGUUCUGACGGUACCCAAAGAAUAAGCACCGGCUAACUUCGUG
RNAcentral lists this ribosomal RNA (491 nucleotides) under uncultured bacterium. RNAcentral's name for it is "partial 16S ribosomal RNA". It matches the Rfam family "Bacterial small subunit ribosomal RNA", at positions 29 to 507 of the family's 1533-position model. The record is from RNAcentral.